Molecule: ribosomal RNA, 404 nt
Filed under: Actinomycetes bacterium
Lineage: Bacteria; Bacillati; Actinomycetota; Actinomycetes
Description: Actinobacteria bacterium partial 16S ribosomal RNA
Rfam family: Bacterial small subunit ribosomal RNA
Source: RNAcentral
UGGGGAAUAUUGGACAAUGGGCGCAAGCCUGAUCCAGCCAUGCCGCGUGAGUGAUGAAGGCCCUAGGGUUGUAAAGCUCUUUCACCGGUGAAGAUAAUGACGGUAACCGGAGAAGAAGCCCCGGCUAACUUCGUGCCAGCAGCCGCGGUAAUACGAAGGGGGCUAGCGUUGUUCGGAUUUACUGGGCGUAAAGCGCACGUAUGCGGACUUUUAAGUCAGGGGUGAAAUCCCGGGGCUCAACCCCGGAACUGCCUUUGAUACUGGAAGUCUUGAGUAUGGUAGAGGUGAGUGGAAUUCCGAGUGUAGAGGUGAAAUUCGUAGAUAUUCGGAGGAACACCAGUGGCGAAGGCGGCUCACUGGACCAUUACUGACGCUGAGGUGCGAAAGCGUGGGGAGCAAACAGG